This 368-nucleotide ribosomal RNA is filed under the name uncultured bacterium. Its description in RNAcentral is "bacterial SSU rRNA". It matches the Rfam family "Bacterial small subunit ribosomal RNA", at positions 29 to 425 of the family's 1533-position model. The record is from RNAcentral.
AACGAACGCUGGCGGCAUGCCUAACACAUGCAAGUCGAACGAAGCCUUCGGGCUUAGUGGCGCACGGGUGCGUAACACGUGGGAAUCUGCCCUUAGGUACGGAAUAACUCAGGGAAACUUGUGCUAAUACCGUAUGAUGACUUCGGUCCAAAGAUUUAUCGCCUAGGGAUGAGCCCGCGUCGGAUUAGCUAGUUGGUGGGGUAAAAGCCUACCAAGGCGACGAUCCGUAGCUGGUCUGAGAGGAUGAUCAGCCACACUGGGACUGAGACACGGCCCAGACUCCUACGGGAGGCAGCAGUGGGGAAUAUUGGACAAUGGGCGAAAGCCUGAUCCAGCAAUGCCGCGUGAGUGAAGAAGGCCUUCGGUUG